UAAUAUCAUUAGCCUAAGUUUAACAAAAAACGCGGGGAACCCAAAAAAGACUAUUGGGGUGAAUCGUUAUUUUACGUAGGUUAUGCCUUUACCGAACCCGUCAGCUAACCCCGUAGGUAACAAGGAGAGGAUAA
Molecule: regulatory RNA element, 134 nt
Organism: Clostridium tyrobutyricum DIVETGP
Lineage: Bacteria; Bacillati; Bacillota; Clostridia; Eubacteriales; Clostridiaceae
Rfam family: c-di-AMP riboswitch aptamer (ydaO/yuaA leader)
About the family: This family represents a conserved RNA structure found upstream of the ydaO and yuaA genes in Bacillus subtilis and related genes in other bacteria.
Source: Rfam